GGAAGGCUCCUUCGGGAGUACUCGAGCGGCGAACGGGAGAGUAAUACCUGGACAACCUACCCUGAAGACGGGGAUAGCCACUGGAAACGGUGGGUAAUACCCGAUGGUCCCGGCAGGCUUGAUGGCCAGCCGGGUAAAUGGUGAUUCCGCUUCGGGACGGGUCCAGGCCCCAUUAGCUUGUUGGUGAGGUAACGGCUCACCAAGGCGACGAUGGGUAGCGGGCCUGAGAGGGUGAUCCGCCUCACUGGGACUGAGACACUGCCCAGACUCCUACGGGAGGCUGCAGUCGCGAAUCAUUGGCAAUGCACGAAAGUGUGACCAUGCCACGCCGCGUGGGCGAUGAAGGCCUUAGGGUUGUAAAGCCCUGUCAGGGGUGAGGAAGUGUGCGGUUGAACCGCAUUUGACGUUAACCCCAGAGGAAGUCACGGCUAACUCCGUGCCAGCAGCCGCGGUAAGACGGAGGUGGCAAACGUUGCUCGGAAUCACUGGGCUUAAAGGGCGUGUAGGCGGUCUUCCAAGUCGGGUGUGAAAGCCCUCGGCUCAACCGAGGAAUUGCAUCCGAUACUGGUCGACUAGAGUGCGACAGGGGUAAGUGGAACUCCAGGUGUAGCGGUGAAAUGCGUAGAUAUCUGGAGGAACGCCAAUGGCGAAAGCAACUUACUGGGUCGCAACUGACGCUGAGGCGCGAAAGCUAGGGGAGCGAACGGGAUUAGAUACCCCGGUAGUCCUAGCCCUAAA
This 738-nucleotide ribosomal RNA is filed under the name uncultured Planctomycetota bacterium. RNAcentral describes it as "bacterial SSU rRNA". It matches the Rfam family "Bacterial small subunit ribosomal RNA", at positions 68 to 806 of the family's 1533-position model. Lineage: Bacteria; Pseudomonadati; Planctomycetota. The record is from RNAcentral.